AGUGAACGCUGGCGGUAGGCCUAACACAUGCAAGUCGAACGGCAGCACAGUAAGAGCUUGCUCUUACGGGUGGCGAGUGGCGGACGGGUGAGGAAUACAUCGGAAUCUACUUUUUCGUGGGGGAUAACGUAGGGAAACUUACGCUAAUACCGCAUACGACCUACGGGUGAAAGCAGGGGAUCUUCGGACCUUGCGCGAUUGAAUGAGCCGAUGUCGGAUUAGCUAGUUGGCGGGGUAAAGGCCCACCAAGGCGACGAUCCGUAGCUGGUCUGAGAGGGUGAUCGGCCACACUGGAACUGAGACACGGUCCAGACUCCUACGGGAGGCAGCAGUAGGGAAUCUUCCGCAAUGGGCGAAAGCCUGACGGAGCAACGCCGCGUGAGUGAUGAAGGUCUUCGGAUCGUAAAACUCUGUUAUUAGGGAAGAACAAAUGUGUAAGUAACUAUGCACGUCUUGACGGUACCUAAUCAGAAAGCCACGGCUAACUACGUG
Molecule: ribosomal RNA, 492 nt
Filed under: uncultured bacterium
Lineage: Bacteria
Description: partial 16S ribosomal RNA
Rfam family: Bacterial small subunit ribosomal RNA
Source: RNAcentral